This is a non-coding RNA of Pogona vitticeps (central bearded dragon), 1741 nucleotides long. The record is from RefSeq and is a predicted model, not a curated record. NCBI's taxonomy places the organism in Eukaryota, Metazoa, Chordata, Lepidosauria, Squamata, Agamidae.
UUUUCAGGUUAGGUCUUAUUUUAGGGGAAACAGGGUAGGUGCAUUAAAACAUAUCUGUAGCAGAUUAAUGUAUCAAUUGAACCUUGCACAAACCAUAUGGUCAUUGAUAAACUGUCACUAACAAAUGCAGAUGUGAUACCUUGAUUGGGCACUGAAAAAUCAAACAUUCAGCAAACUUUUGUGGGUCAAGUCCACUUCUUCAGGGAUGCACCAAUAUUUUGUGUAUACAGUAGUGCAGAAAAAUUAUAAAUGAGAAUCUUAAAAAAAUAAUGGCAGUUAGUUGUGCCAGGUCUGCUUUUUAGAAGUGGAUUCAUUGGAGGUGUGGUUUUCAAACCACAGCCCAGGUAGCUGUUGGUUGGAUAUCAUCCCCCCAGUUCCUCAACAAAGUGUCACCAAGUCGUUUUAAUGUGCUCUGCCCCUCAUAUUAGUUUAUCUUGCUAUGUGUUACCCAGUCAGCCAUGUCUUCUUUGUUACUCUUUUACAGCAGUACAGUAUUCUGGGGCCAGAAGUAUAUAUAAUCCUAAUUGAUUUAUUUUGGCCACCACCACCCCAUUUCCCCUCUCCUCCUUAAAAUGUGUAUAGUUGAAAGGUUUCCUCUCCUGUUACCUUUUUCUUGUAUGGCAGUUGUGCUGUUUUGUACACUUAAAACAGCAGCUCUCACAUGUUGGAAAAUCACAAACAGAGGCAACAAGUGCAUACUCCUGUCCUGUGUUUCAGCCAGUCAAUCACGUUCUUCCUUUGCUCUUGUUUUUUUUUUUGCUGCCCCAGCUUUCAUUACACUGCUGUUGAGUACAUAGGCUGGAUUCCUCCUUAGGCUGUUUAGGGGAGUUUGCCAUUUAGUUCCCCCCCUUUUUUGGUACUUCUGAAAACCUUGGAUUUAUUCCACACCAGCUGACAUUUUUGUCUUGAGACUCAAGUGACAAAUAACUUCAUUUCCAAGCAAUAUGCCAUAUUAAGAACCAGCACAUUGAGAUGUCUGAUAACAGCCUUUUGUUUCACCAAUUCAAGUUAUCUGAGCAUUGCUACACAAUAAUCUUUCAGAGCUGGCAUAAGUGGGGGCAGAUCUCCAGUAAAGACAGAUAAAGAUGACUGGCCUCCAGUAAAGGUAAUAAGACAGAAUUGUAAAAUGCUUUUAAAAAUCUUUUAGAUGGCAUCAGCUUUGAGCCGCUCAUGGAGUUUUAAAUUUGUGAAGCACACCAAGGUUGGCAAUAGACCAAAUACCUAUUUUUGUAUUUAUUAUGGAGAUAUAAAGAUUUUUAGGGGACUGAUUUAUAAUUUCUGAAUGGAACAACACACUUCCUGUUACCUAUUUUAUAUGUUCUGAACUUGCACUGUUUCUGUAUUCUUGUUUUGUGUUCACAGUUCAGUAAACAUUGGACAUUUCUAAGAGCACUAUUUGUGUGAGUUGCUGUAUCCCUGCCACGGGUUAACUACAAUAAGGUACAUUAGCCUCACAUGUGGAAAAAGCCUCGCGCUUGGUUUCAGCCAAGCAGGUUCCAAUUUUGUAUAAUUUGCUUUACGUCUUUAUCUCAGCUGCUCCUUCACUCCUCCUUCCCCGUCUCGUCAUCAGAUAUUUGCUCCGCCCCCCGCCAAGGUGCCUCACUUUCUUCCGUCCACUCAAUGGCGGUUGGCGCAUGCGCAAUAGCGAGAGGUGGCCCAGGCCAUGGCGGCCGUUUAAAGGAAACUUGCUCGUUUACAAUUCCCAGUGUAGGAGAGGCCUCACAAUGUACCGGCGGGAAGG